UUCUCUUUCACCUGAGGAUCAUAGCUGUUCCUCAGGUGAGGCAAAAGACUGACAAGGGCACAAGCGGACGAGGCCAUUUAUUAUUUGCGUGUCAACAGAAAAGCCUCUUAAAGAAGGCGCAAGGGAUCAGUGAUGAAGAUAGACAGCUGGAGUGGACACCCAUCAUUGCUAUCACUUCUUCUGUAGCCUCCCGUCAUCAUGAUUUUUUUGAGAGGCUGCAGAUCCAUGGCGGUAGUGAACAUUCAGUACGAGACGCAGUAUAAUGGGAUCAGAACCAACGCGUGCUCAUCCGAAGCCUCUGAAAAACCACAGAUGUGAGGAGCGCCACCUCGCUGAAAGUCUUUCGGAACUUAAAUCAACACCAGGCAACAUUACCAGUCGCAGCGCCACCAGAGACGCGUACAGCCCGCCUCCCUUGACUGUUUUCCUGCAUGGCAAAGUGACAUACAGUUCAUCAAUGUAGUCGAAAGUCUGGACGCCGCACCUCAAACUCUACACUCGAGUCCAACAGGAAACAGAAACAGGAGGCAGUUCCUUUCCUUUCCUUAAAUGGCACAGUGUUGGCUGCUGACGAUAGAUGGCAGAGAAGACGUUGGUCAAGUACUGAGCACCUCAGCAGCCAUCACAUCAACACUUCGGGACAAGUGACGCACGGGUGUGGGGUGCCAGGAUGCCUUCUUUGGUCAGUUUGGUAAUCAUUCAGUGGGCUGUCACCCCUCCUCCUCUAAGCUGAGUGACAGGGGGUUCAGAUAAAGGAAUCCACACCUCAUUACCUCAUCUUCACCGGCCGCCCUCUCCACACGGCCAUUUAUCCAGGUAUCCGUGGAGGAGGUGACACAGACGCCUGUACCUGACGCUGCGAGCACCUUGAAGUCCCGGCCGAUCACACAGUCGGAGGAUAUCCUGCAACACUCAACCAACAGAAGAGGACAUAAGCUUCAAAACUCUUAGAUUAUUCACUGGCAUAAAGCCUGAAGAUCAUAUUCAUAAUCUGGAGGGAACAAAGGUCUCCCAAAACAGAGGGGAUAAACACACAAGAAGUUGGACAUGGUGACGAAAAUAUCAAAAUUUUACCUAUCACUGCUACUCACCUCAUCCAACAGCAGCAAGUUUUCAUUAGAUUUUCCAGCUAUCGUAUCAACUUUCUUGCUGCUGGAGAGAAAAUUACUAUUAAAUGUGUACAUAGUCAGAUUUUUAGUGUCAAGUCAUUAGGGAGCUUUAAACUGAGAUGAUCUAAGCUAUGGAAGGAGGUGAAAUAGAGUGGAAAUUAUCAAGUGGCAGCUGAGUUUGGGUCAACACACUGGAAGUUGAUGUGGCAACAAGACUCCCGGAAAUUGAAGUUUGUAUAUUAUCUCCCACAGCUCACCUCAAACACACUAUGUAGGUCAUUUUGGUGGAUACUUUUAAGUGCAAUAUAUUGACUACAGAACUCAUAUAUACUUGUAAAUACAGUAAAACCCCCACAAGUUGGCAUAAUAAUGCUCUGCCUUUACCAAAAUUUCAACUUAGUAAAAUAUCACUAAAAAGACUUAAAGCCCUAUAACAAGGUCAGUCUUCAUUUUCAUCCCCUUCCAUCCUAUUGAGCCUCCCCUUGCAUCUUGGUCUGAGGACAUGAUGCAAAGAAGGGCUCCUGGUUCUGGUAGAAGGUUGGGAGGUUUAGCCUUUGUAACAAGAAAACCUGAUGCAUUCUUAUUUAGUCUCUGCAGUCUGAUCUGUCUUCUUCCUCAAAUACUGCUUCAAAUUUUAUUUUUCUCUAUCUCUUGCAAAAAAAAACAUAGUACAGUAUUUUGAAAGAACAAAAAUAAAAGUACGCAGAUGUGAUAUUUGAGAGAAAGAGUGCAGAUCAAACCACCUGACUUUUCAACCAGAUCCAGAAUCUCUUCUUAGACACUGUCAUAUGUUAUGCUGAGUUUGGCCUGGUGUGACUCAGUUUAGUUAGCACAAUGUCAACUUGCCUUUUUGUUUCAUCUGAUAUGGAAUAAUAACUUACGGAUGUCUUACUGUACUCAAGGAAACUAAAAAUAAAGGAAUUAUGAGUUGGAUUUACAAAA
Molecule: long non-coding RNA, 2051 nt
Organism: Scylla paramamosain (green mud crab)
Lineage: Eukaryota; Metazoa; Arthropoda; Malacostraca; Decapoda; Portunidae
Exons: 6
Source: RefSeq, a predicted model, not a curated record